RNAcentral lists this ribosomal RNA (485 nucleotides) under uncultured bacterium. RNAcentral describes it as "bacterial SSU rRNA". It matches the Rfam family "Bacterial small subunit ribosomal RNA", at positions 32 to 507 of the family's 1533-position model. The record is from RNAcentral.
GACGACGCUGGCGGCGUGCCUGACACAUGCAAGUCGAGGGGCAUCACGAGGUAGCAAUACUUUGGUGGCGACCGGCGCACGGGUGAGUAACACGUAUGCAACCUUCCCUGUACAGGGGGAUAACCCGGAGAAAUUCGGACUAAUACCCCAUGAUGAUAUUAUGGGGCAUCCUUUAAUAUUUAAAGCUCUGGCGGUACAGGAUGGGCAUGCGCGACAUUAGCUAGUUGGUAAGGUAACGGCUUACCAAGGCGACGAUGUUUAGGGGACCUGAGAGGGUUGUCCCCCACACUGGUACUGAGACACGGACCAGACUCCUACGGGAGGCAGCAGUGAGGAAUAUUGGUCAAUGGGCGCAAGCCUGAACCAGCCAUCCCGCGUGAAGGAAGAAUGCGCUACGCGUUAGUAAACUUCUUUCCAGGGGGAGAAUAAUCCUGUCGUGACAGGACUUGACGGUACUCUGGGAAUAAGCAUCGGCUAACUCCGUG